RNAcentral lists this unclassified non-coding RNA (2380 nucleotides) under Apis dorsata (giant honeybee). RNAcentral describes it as "excitatory amino acid transporter 1-like, transcript variant X5". Lineage: Eukaryota; Metazoa; Arthropoda; Insecta; Hymenoptera; Apidae. The record is from RNAcentral.
AUGUUAGAAGCGAGCAACAGAUCAAUAUCGUCAAUCAACUAAUAGGAUAUUGUCGAUCCCUUUCCAGCCUCUCGACCUCUCCCCGCCACCUUCCCCUAUCAGGGCGCGAUACUAUACAGCAGCCGCUUCCGGUUAACCGGAAGUGACGCUCUACGGUGACUACUACCGUAUUUCGUCGGAAUAUUAAUACCAAGCAAACGUAGACCAUCAUCACCGCUCCAGACAGGCAUCAUGGAAGUCGCCACCGAACUAAUUUUAUCAAUUGCUGUUGUUGAAUUCGUCUAUCCGUCUGUUAAAAAAUAUAUAUAUGCAGAAGAGGCGGGCCCAUCGAGACGACAUUGACAAGCGGAUGAAGUUUCUUCUUCAGUCACCGUUAUCAGGAUCGGACACACAAUGCAAAAUUACCGAACGAACCUCGUAUUAUCCUCAGGAGCCAAAUAAAAGGCCGCAAACCAGGCAAGAGAAGGUUCGAUCGUGUCUCAAGCACAAUUCGUUGACGAUAUUGACUGUGACCGGUGUAUUCGGCGGUGUGGUUCUCGGUAUUAUCUUGAGGAGCUUGCGAACUCAAGGAUGGACGCCACGCGAGAUCAUGUACAUCAAUUACAUAGGAGAUCUGUUUCUCAGAAUGCUGAAGAGUUUGAUUUUACCUCUUAUCAUAUCCAGUCUAGUCUCAGCAAUUGGAUCCCUUGAUCUGUCAUUGAGCGGGAAAAUUGGUGUUCGUGCUAUAGUGUAUUACAUGGUCACCACGAUUAGCGCUGUUGUACUAGGUAUCAUUUUGGUAAUCACUAUCCAGCCGGGUGUGGGAAAUAAUCCUGACAUAAGGACAAAAGAACGAUCUCAAAAUGUCUCGACUAUCGAUACAUUGAUGGACUUGAUUCGGAAUAUGUUUCCCCCGAAUUUAGUAGAGGCAUGUAUCUCUCAACAUAAAACGGAAAUGCAGAAACCGGAAAACAGUACAUCAGAUAACAUGGACGAGUGGAAGCCAGUGUCAAAAAGCGUGUCAGGAACCAAUAUAAUGGGUCUCGUCGUUUUCGCCACGGUGCUUGGUAUAACAUUGGGAAAAAUGGAAGAACAAGGAAAACCGUUGCUCGUAUUCUUCGAGUCCUUGUCUGGCGCUAUGAUGAUGAUCACUCAUUGGGUGAUUUGGUUGUCGCCUAUUGGUGUACUGUUUCUAGUAGCCGCUAAAAUUACGGAAAUGCAAUCGUUGGACGAAAUAGUUUCCCAAUUGGGAAUGUACUUUCUCACCGUAUUGAUAGGCCUGUUGAUACACGGUUUCAUCGUUCUGCCUCUAUUAUAUUUUCUAAUAACGAAGAGAAAUCCAUACGUAUACAUAUCCAAUUUGGCCCAAGCGUUGGUCACAGCGUUUGGUACGUCCUCAAGCUCCGCUACUCUUCCAAUUGCUAUUAAUUGUUUGGAAGAAGGAAACAAUGUCGAUCCACGAAUUACCAGAUUCGUUUUGCCGAUCGGCGCCACUAUCAAUAUGGAUGGCACGGCUUUAUACGAAGCUGUGGCCGCGAUUUUCAUCGCGCAAGUGCGUCAAGUCAGUCUUAGUUUUGGACAGCUGGUGGCAAUCAGUCUUUGUUCAGUAUCACAGCGACUGCGGCAAGUAUCGGAGCAGCUGGAAUUCCACAAGCAGGUCUGGUUACGAUGGUAAUGGUAUUGGAUACAGUUCGCCUACCGUCCGAAGACGUAUUCCUUGUCAUUGCUGUUGAUUGGUUAUUAGAUCGUUGUAGAACAACAGUGAACGUAGUAGGUGAUUCUCUCGGGGCAGGAAUUGUGAAUUAUUUAAGCAGAAACGAACUUGCUUCGUUGCCACAUAAUGCACAGACGCAAAACGGAGCAGAUCAUCAUACUACAACAUCCAUAUGAAACCGAAGUCGAUAUUAUUAUCGGCAAGAUUUGUAAAUGCUAACAAACAAACGAAGAACGAUGAGCGUUCGUCCCCCCCCCCCUCCGAUAUUUUUCCCGGUAAACGUCGUACACUCCCACCGAACUUUAAAUUUGAAAGCGAAGACGAAGUUCAGUACAAAUAUAAUAAUAAAAUUCUUCGCAAUCAAUGAUGCAUAUAAUAGCAAAUAAUAAUAUAUCUAUUAUAUUUUAUUCUAUUCUAGUAGUCAGUCUUCAAAAAGAGACUUUAAUGAUUCUUAUACAAUAUUAUUAGAAGAAUUGAAGCAAUAUUUUUUUGUAUUUAACUAUGCUGCUGCCAGAUUCGUUCAAUUAGAGUACAAAAAAUAAUCAAAUGACACGAUCAUGUUUUAAUGGUCAUUUUUCGUUGAUUUUAAUAAUAAGUUACAAGAUCCAAUUGAAAUGAUACGAAAAAAUACAAGAGUUGAAAGAUUUGAAGAUUUGAUUUUGUUAAGUUCAUUUAAAUAUGUAAAAA